RNAcentral lists this unclassified non-coding RNA (395 nucleotides) under soil metagenome. Its description in RNAcentral is "partial contains 5.8S ribosomal RNA, internal transcribed spacer 2, and large subunit ribosomal RNA". The stretch from base 1 to 122 matches the Rfam family "5.8S ribosomal RNA", at positions 35 to 154 of the family's 154-position model. The record is from RNAcentral.
GAUGAAGAACGUAGCGAAAUGCGAUACUUGGUGUGAAUUGCAGAAUCCCGUGAACCAUCGAGUCUUUGAACGCAAGUUGCGCCCGAAGCCAUCAGGUUGAGGGCACGUCUGCCUGGGCGUCACAUAUCGUUGCCCAAUGCCUAUUGCAGUGCAAUAGGAAUUUCUAGGGCGAAUGAUGGCUUCCCGUGAGCGUUGUUGCCUCGCGGUUGGUUGAAAAUCGAGUCCUUGGUAGGGUGUGCCAUGGUAGAUGGUGGUCGAGUUAGAACGAUACCGAUCAUGUGCAUGCUCCCCAAAAUAUGGCCUCUAUGACCCACACGCGUCUUUUGACGCUCAUGACGAGACCUCAGGUCAGGCGGGGCUACCCGCUGAAUUUAAACAUAUCAAUAAGCGGAGGA